GUACACUCCUGCGGGAGGCAGCAGUGGGGAAUUUUGGACAAUGGGCGAAAGCCUGAUCCAGCAAUGCCGCGUGAGUGAAGAAGGCCUUCGGGUUGUAAAGCUCUUUUGUCAGGGAAGAAACGGUGAGAGCUAAUAUCUUUUGCUAAUGACGGUACCUGAAGAAUAAGCACCGGCUAACUACGUGCCAGCAGCCGCGGUAAUACGUAGGGUGCAAGCGUUAAUCGGAAUUACUGGGCGUAAAGCGUGCGCAGGCGGUUUUGUAAGUCUGAUGUGAAAUCCCCGGGCUCAACCUGGGAAUUGCAUUGGAGACUGCAAGGCUAGAAUCUGGCAGAGGGGGGUAGAAUUCCACGUGUAGCAGUGAAAUGCGUAGAUAUGUGGAGGAACACCGAUGGCGAAGGCAGCCCCCUGGGUCAAGAUUGACGCUCAUGCACGAAAGCGUGGGGAGCAAACAGGAUUAGAAACCCGAGUAGUCCCAU
Molecule: ribosomal RNA, 476 nt
Filed under: uncultured organism
Description: partial 16S ribosomal RNA
Rfam family: Bacterial small subunit ribosomal RNA
Source: RNAcentral